UCCCUACUGGCUAUAACAGUAAAGAAUCUGCCUGCAAUGCAGGAGACCUGGGUUCCAUCCCCGGGUCGGGAA
This 72-nucleotide transfer RNA is filed under the name Bos taurus (domestic cattle). It matches the Rfam family "tRNA". Rfam says of the family: Transfer RNA (tRNA) molecules are approximately 80 nucleotides in length. Their secondary structure includes four short double-helical elements and three loops (D, anti-codon, and T loops). Further hydrogen bonds mediate the characteristic L-shaped molecular structure. tRNAs have two regions of fundamental functional importance: the anti-codon, which is responsible for specific mRNA codon recognition, and the 3' end, to which the tRNAs corresponding amino acid is attached (by aminoacyl-tRNA synthetases). tRNAs cope with the degeneracy of the genetic code in two manners: having more than one tRNA (with a specific anti-codon) for a particular amino acid; and 'wobble' base-pairing, i.e. permitting non-standard base-pairing at the 3rd anti-codon position. The record is from Rfam by way of RNAcentral. Lineage: Eukaryota; Metazoa; Chordata; Mammalia; Artiodactyla; Bovidae. RNAcentral also lists the same sequence under 2 other names.